AAUAGCUCACUGGUCGAGUCGGCCUGCGCGGAAGAUGUAACGGGGCUAAACCAUGCACCGAAGCUGCGGCAGCGACACUAUGUGUUGUUGGGUAGGGGAGCGUUCUGUAAGCCUGCGAAGGUGUACUGUGAGGUAUGCUGGAGGUAUCAGAAGUGCGAAUGCUGACAUAAGUAACGAUAAAGCGGGUGAAAAGCCCGCUCGCCGGAAGACCAAGGGUUCCUGUCCAACGUUAAUCGGGGCAGGGUGAGUCGACCCCUAAGGCGAGGCCGAAAGGCGUAGUCGAUGGGAAACAGGUUAAUAUUCCUGUACUUGGUGUUACUGCGAAGGGGGGACGGAGAAGGCUAUGUUGGCCGGGCGACGGUUGUCCCGGUUUAAGCGUGUAGGCUGGUUUUCCAGGCAAAUCCGGAAAAUCAAGGCUGAGGCGUGAUGACGAGGCACUACGGUGCUGAAGCAACAAAUGCCCUGCUUCCAGGAAAAGCCUCUAAGCAUCAGGUAACAUCAAAUCGUACCCCAAACCGACACAGGUGGUCAGGUAGAGAAUACCAAGGCGCUUGAGAGAACUCGGGUGAAGGAACUAGGCAAAAUGGUGCCGUAACU
RNAcentral lists this ribosomal RNA (597 nucleotides) under Escherichia coli. RNAcentral's name for it is "partial 23S ribosomal RNA". It matches the Rfam family "Bacterial large subunit ribosomal RNA", at positions 1136 to 1735 of the family's 2925-position model. Lineage: Bacteria; Pseudomonadati; Pseudomonadota; Gammaproteobacteria; Enterobacterales; Enterobacteriaceae. The record is from RNAcentral.